UGGGGAAUUUUGGACAAUGGGCGAAAGCCUGAUCCAGCAAUGCCGCGUGUGAAGAAGGCCUUCGGGUUGUAAAGCACUUUUGUCCGGAAAGAAAUCCUUGGCUCUAAUACAGUCGGGGGAUGACGGUACCGGAAGAAUAAGCACCGGCUAACUACGUGCCAGCAGCCGCGGUAAUACGUAGGGUGCAAGCGUUAAUCGGAAUUACUGGGCGUAAAGCGUGCGCAGGCGGUUUGCUAAGACCGAUGUGAAAUCCCCGGGCUCAACCUGGGAACUGCAUUGGUGACUGGCAGGCUAGAGUAUGGCAGAGGGGGGUAGAAUUCCACGUGUAGCAGUGAAAUGCGUAGAGAUGUGGAGGAAUACCGAUGGCGAAGGCAGCCCCCUGGGCCAAUACUGACGCUCAUGCACGAAAGCGUGGGGAGCAAACAGGAUUAGAUACCCUGGUAGCCCACGCCCUAAAACGAUGUCAACUAGUUGUUGGGGAUUCAUUUCCUUAGUAACGUAGCUAACGCGUGAAGUUGACCGCCUGGGGAGUACGGUCGCAAGAUUAAAACUCAAAUGAAUUGACGGGGUCAUAGCUGUUUCCU
Molecule: ribosomal RNA, 584 nt
Filed under: uncultured bacterium
Lineage: Bacteria
Description: partial 16S ribosomal RNA
Rfam family: Bacterial small subunit ribosomal RNA
Source: RNAcentral